RNAcentral lists this long non-coding RNA (1586 nucleotides) under Homo sapiens (human). Its description in RNAcentral is "HSALNT0242847". Lineage: Eukaryota; Metazoa; Chordata; Mammalia; Primates; Hominidae. The record is from RNAcentral.
GUUUGAUGAGUUUACUUUUUUCUUUUAGGAAACAUAAAAACAGUGGCUCACAGCCAUUGUGGUCAAUGGGUCAGAGAGUUUUCACUAAGGGGAAUGUGAGUGCCUACUUCAUAAUGUUGCUGUGAGGAUUAAAGGAGUCAAUACAUGGAAAGUGCUCAGAAAAGUGCCUGGCACAGGGGCUUGCCAGACCACAGGAGACCAAGUAUAUGAAAGAGCUUUGGAAAACACAAAGUGCUGUUCAGCUCCUUAAGGCAGCACUAUGGCAGAAACAGUUACUCCAUAUUAGGGAUUUGGGAUUUUGGUUACCCUGGAGGGUCACUUAAGACGUUUUGAACUCCCCAUUGCUAUUGAGUGAAGAGUGCCACACAUUACAACGGGGCCAAUGUGGGCUUCCUUUAUAAACAGUGAGGAUUCCAAAGCAAUCCCGAAGGGAGGAGGGUAAGCUGCCCUGAAGCAUGGGCUCCAGGCGCCAGGAGAAACGGAGCUGUCUCCCUGCUUUUGGAUGCCAAGACAUCAACACUUAAAGCAGCCACAGGGCAAGUUUGAUUCUGAACCAGCAAAGCAGAGAAAGAACUCAAUUGAGAUGCCCUGCCCUGUAGGCUAGCUUCCUGCUGACGUGAAUGAGAACUUCACACUGGUGACUCAGACACUACCUGUGUGGUUGUCGGUGCACACACAUGGGUGAUUGUGCUGAAGCUACCUGGACUGGAGACAAGAAUGUGUGUCUUGCUAACCCGUGGAUGAUAAUUAAAUUCAUGGAAGCAGCAGCAAUGACCCAGGAGCACGUAUAGCUGGAGAAGAAGGUCAGAGGUAGGGUGUGACCAGGAAAUAGAUUAACAAAAUGGGGAGGAGGGAAAGAGGAUGGUGUCACUUCAUAAACCAUGGUGUGGUAGAGGGGAGGCACACCGGACCUUUUUGGGGAGUCUACUACUCUAAAGGCUCUUCCUCUGGGCUAGCCCAUAAGAGAAAUAUAUUUGUUAUUUCCUAGCAUUUUUCCAUGGUUAUUGGUCUAUGUGGACUCUUGUAGGGUAAGUUUUAGUUAUUUAUAUUUGCCUAUUUCCAAAAUAGUGGAAUCACACUACAUAUUGAGGUGUGUGGGAUCUGCUACUAUCAUCAUUGUCUCCAACAUAUACUUUUAUCUUUUCUGAUUGUAAGAAUAAUUAAGUUACAAAUAAUUAUUUAAAUAAGCAAACAAAAAAAUAAAGAGACAUUCACGUGGCAGAAUCCAGCAUAACAGAUAAAAGAAAAUAUAUACUCCUAUGGGAAGUUCUCAAGAUAUAUUGUUCAGCUAAAAAAACAAAACAAAACAAAACAAAAGCAAAGUAAAAAACAUAUUGUCUUUUGUAUAAAGGGAGGAAUAGAUAAUGUAUAUUUAACUCAUCUUAUUUAUGCAUGAAUUAAUUUUGAAAGCUUACACAGGAAACUAAUAACAGUUUUCUGGGUGUGAAAUUGGGUGCAUGGAAAAGCAGGGAUAGGAGAGAGACUUUUCUGUAUAUCUUUUUCAUUUUUUGUGCUGUAUGAAUAUAUUCCUUGAAAAAUUAAAAUGGAAAUUGUGCAUUGUGGAAAAAUUAGGAAAUUGAUUAAAG